AACCUCAAAAAAAGAUGUGAGAAAGAGGGUUGGGAAAGCUGACAGAUCUGCUAUGGCAGAGCUUCUAAAGAAGAAAAAGACUGAAGACCAGCGGAACCAUGAAGCACACACAACAAGCAAACUUCCCUGCACUUCCAUGGGCCAAGUACGUGCACGCAUGGGCCAGAAGCUGAAAGAUGUCCGCGCAUCUCGAAGACGUGCAGAAAAGCAGGUUUAAGUGUGAUACCUUUUUUUUGUUUGGAAAUAAGCCUUAAUAUUGCCUCAUACGAGUCAUUAAAAAACCCAUUUUAUUCUGAU
This is a long non-coding RNA of Lytechinus variegatus (green sea urchin), 297 nucleotides long. RefSeq lists it as uncharacterized. Lineage: Eukaryota; Metazoa; Echinodermata; Echinoidea; Temnopleuroida; Toxopneustidae. The transcript is spliced from 3 exons. The record is from RefSeq and is a predicted model, not a curated record.